This 254-nucleotide ribosomal RNA is filed under the name uncultured bacterium. RNAcentral describes it as "partial 16S ribosomal RNA". It matches the Rfam family "Bacterial small subunit ribosomal RNA", at positions 524 to 776 of the family's 1533-position model. The record is from RNAcentral.
UACGUAGGUGACAAGCGUUGUCCGGAUUUACUGGGCGUAAAGAGCGCGCAGGCGGUCGAUCAAGUCGAGUGUGAAAGCCCCCGGCUCAACUGGGGAGGGUCAUUCGAUACUGAUCGACUCGAAGGCAGGAGAGGGUAGUGGAAUUCCCGGUGUAGUGGUGAAAUGCGUAGAUAUCGGGAGGAACACCAGUGGCGAAGGCGACUACCUGGCCUGUUCUUGACGCCUGAGGCGCGAAAGCUAGGGGAGCAAACGGG